Molecule: unclassified non-coding RNA, 429 nt
Filed under: Hevea brasiliensis (rubber tree)
Lineage: Eukaryota; Viridiplantae; Streptophyta; Magnoliopsida; Malpighiales; Euphorbiaceae
Source: RNAcentral
GAAACAUUGUUCUUUGUUUAUUAAGCUACUGUUGCGUGUGAUAAUUCAAUUAGUUGUUUGAAGAAUAUAUUAAUGCUAGUGCUCAAUAGGCUAGUUUGUUUACUCGUGACAUAGAUUAAGAUUCAGGUUAUUUUAAUCUCGUCUUCUUACCUAUUAUUUUUUUAUACUACCUGUGGAUGUAAUGCAGAUUGCAACGUUAAGAUCUUUUCUUUUUUAACAUCAAUUGGGUAUCUUUAUUUCCACAUUUUUUUGUUGUAACAUGUUGGGUACUUCUUUUGUCAAUUUGGUUGUCUUUAUUCCCGCUUUUCCUUUUGCUUCUCCCACUGCCAUUUCCUUGAUCUUGAUUCUUGAACAUAGUGUUUAGCAGAAACCAAUUUUUUGUUUGGUUCAACAGUGGGUUACAAAAUAGCUCUCCCCCUUCUCAUAAAC